GACGAACGCUGGCGGCGUGCUUAACACAUGCAAGUCGAACGGUAAGGCCCUGCCUUUGUGGGGUGCUCGAGUGGCGAACGGGUGAGUAACACGUGAGUAACCUGCCCUUGACUUUGGGAUAACUCUAGGAAACUGGGGCUAAUACCGGAUAGGACCUCCUGCUGCAUGGUGGGGGUUGGAGAGUUUCGGCGGUGGGGGAUGGCCUCGCGGCUUAUCAGCUUGUUGGUGGGGUAGUGGCAUACCAAGGCCUUGACGGGUAGCCGGCCUGAGAGGGUGAACGGCCACAUUGGGACUGAGAUACGGCCCAGACUCCUACGGGAGGCAGCAGUGGGGAAUAUUGCACAAUGGGCGGAAGCCUGAUGCAGCGACGCCGCGUGCGGGAUGACGGCCUUCGGGUUGUAAACCGCUUUCGCCUGUGACGAAGCGUGAGUGACGGUAAUGGGUAAAGAAGCACCGGCUAACUACGUG
RNAcentral lists this ribosomal RNA (468 nucleotides) under uncultured bacterium. RNAcentral's name for it is "partial 16S ribosomal RNA". It matches the Rfam family "Bacterial small subunit ribosomal RNA", at positions 28 to 507 of the family's 1533-position model. The record is from RNAcentral.